This 497-nucleotide ribosomal RNA is filed under the name uncultured bacterium. RNAcentral's name for it is "partial 16S ribosomal RNA". It matches the Rfam family "Bacterial small subunit ribosomal RNA", at positions 28 to 507 of the family's 1533-position model. The record is from RNAcentral.
GAUGAACGCUGGCGGCGUGCCUAAUACAUGCAAGUCGAGCGAACAGACGAGGAGCUUGCUCCUCUGACGUUAGCUGCGGACGGGUGAGUAACACGUGGAUAACCUACCUAUAAGACUGGGAUAACUUCGGGAAACCGUAGCUAAUACCGGAUAAUAUAUUGAACCGCAUGUUUCAAUAGUGAAAGACGGUUUUGCUGUCACUUAUAGAUGGAUCCGCGCCGCAUUAGCUAGUUGGUAAGGUAACGGCUUACCAAGGCAACGAUGCGUAGCCGACCUGAGAGGGUGAUCGGCCACACUGGAACUGAGACACAGUCCAGACUCCUACGGGAGGCAGCAGUAGGGAAUCUUCCGCAAUGGGAGAAAGCCUGAAGGAGCAACGCAGCGUGAGUGAUGAAGGUAUUCGGAUCGUAAAACUCUGUUAUUAGGGAAGAACAAAUGUGUAAGUAACUAUGCACGUCUUGACGGUACCUAAUCAGAAAGCCACGGCUAACUAAGUG